UCGGUCCCGGUUCACGUCCGCGCACGUGAGGAGCGAAAUAGCUCCUGGCACUUCGGGCGACCCGGGCC
The sequence is a regulatory RNA element, 68 nucleotides long. It matches the Rfam family "L31-Actinobacteria ribosomal protein leader". The record is from Rfam.